This 324-nucleotide ribosomal RNA is filed under the name uncultured Lactobacillus sp. Its description in RNAcentral is "bacterial SSU rRNA". It matches the Rfam family "Bacterial small subunit ribosomal RNA", at positions 223 to 525 of the family's 1533-position model. The record is from RNAcentral. Lineage: Bacteria; Bacillati; Bacillota; Bacilli; Lactobacillales; Lactobacillaceae.
GGAUGGACCUGCGAUGCAUUAGCUAGUUGGGUAAGGGUAACGGGCUUACCAAGGCGAUGAUGCAUAGCCCGAGUUGAGAGACUGAUCGGGCCACAUUGGGACUGAGACACGGCCCAAACUCCUACGGGAGGCAGUAGUAGGGGAAUCUUCCACAAUGGACGAAAAGUCUGAUGGAGCAAACGCCGCGUGAGUGAAGAAGGUUUUCGGAUCGUAAAAAGCUCUGUUGUUGGUGAAGAAGGAUAGAGGUAGUAACUGGCCCUUUAUUUGACGGUAAUCAACCCAGAAAGUCACGGGCUAACUACGUGCCCAGCAGCCGCGGUAAAU